RNAcentral lists this ribosomal RNA (639 nucleotides) under Thiomicrospira sp. Tms-MPN/Milos-CI1. RNAcentral's name for it is "bacterial SSU rRNA". It matches the Rfam family "Bacterial small subunit ribosomal RNA", at positions 151 to 783 of the family's 1533-position model. Lineage: Bacteria; Pseudomonadati; Pseudomonadota; Gammaproteobacteria; Thiotrichales; Piscirickettsiaceae. The record is from RNAcentral.
UGGAAACGUAUGCUAAUACCGAAUAUGCUCUACGGAGUAAAGGUGCCCUCUCCUUGGAAGGUAUCGCUAUAGGAUGAGCCCGCGUGAGAUUAGUUAGUUGGUAAGGUAAUGGCUUACCAAGGCGACGAUCUCUAGCUGGUUUGAGAGGAUGAUCAGCCACACUGGGACUGAGACACGGCCCAGACUCCUACGGGAGGCAGCAGUGGGGAAUAUUGCACAAUGAGCGAAAGCUUGAUGCAGCCAUACCGCGUGUGUGAAGAAGGCCCGAGGGUUGUAAAGCACUUUCAAUUGUGAGGAAGAUAGUGUCGCUAAUAUCGGCAUUGUUUGACGUUAACUUUAGAAGAAGCACCGGCUAACUCUGUGCCAGCAGCCGCGGUAAUACAGAGGGUGCAAGCGUUAUUCGGAAUUACUGGGCGUAAAGCGCGCGUAGGCGGAUUAUUAAGUCAGUUGUGAAAGCCCUGGGCUCAACCUGGGAACUGCAUCUGAUACUGGUAGUCUAGAGUUUAAGAGAGGGAAGUGGAAUUCCAGGUGUAGCAGUGAAAUGCGUAGAUAUCUGGAGGAACAUCAGUGGCGAAGGCGACUUCCUGGCUUAAAACUGACGCUGAGGUGCGAAAGCGUGGGUAGCGAACGGGAUUAGAU